UAAGCGACUAAGCGUACACGGUGGAUGCCCUGGCAGUCAGAGGCGAUGAAGGACGUGCUAAUCUGCGAUAAGCGUCGGUAAGGUGAUAUGAACCGUUAUAACCGGCGAUUUCCGAAUGGGGAAACCCAGUGUGAUUCGUCACACUAUCAUUAACUGAAUUCAUAGGUUAAUGAGGCGAACCGGGGGAACUGAAACAUCUAAGUACCCCGAGGAAAGGAAAUCAACCGAGAUUCCCCCAGUAGCGGCGAGCGAACGGGGAGCAGUCCAGAGCCUGAAUCAGUGUGUGUGUUAGUGGAAGCGUCUGGAAAGGCGCGCGAUACAGGGUGACAGCCCCGUACACAAAAAUGCACAUACUGUGAGCUCGAUGAGUAGGGCGGGACACGUGGUAUCCUGUCUGAAUAUGGGGGGACCAUCCUCCAAGGCUAAAUACUCCUGACUGACCGAUAGUGAACCAGUACCGUGAGGGAAAGGCGAAAAGAACCCCGGCGAGGGGAGUGAAAAAGAACCUGAAACCGUGUACGUACAAGCAGUGGGAGCACGCUUAGGCGUGUGACUGCGUACCUUUAGUAUAAUGGGUCAGCGACUUAUAUUCUGUAGCAAGGUUAACCGAAUAGGGGAGCCGAAGGGAAACCGAGUCUUAACUGGGCGUUAAGUUGCAGGGUAUAGACCCGAAACCCGGUGAUCUAGCCAUGGGCAGGUUGAAGGUUGGGUAACACUAACUGGAGGACCGAACCGACUAAUGUUGAAAAAUUAGCGGAUGACUUGUGGCUGGGGGUGAAAGGCCAAUCAAACCGGGAGAUAGCUGGUUCUCCCCGAAAGCUAUUUAGGUAGCGCCUCGUGAAUUCAUCUCCGGGGGUAGAGCACUGUUUCGGCAAGGGGGUCAUCCCGACUUACCAACCCGAUGCAAACUGCGAAUACCGGAGAAUGUUAUCACGGGAGACACACGGCGGGUGCUAACGUCCGUCGUGAAGAGGGAAACAACCCAGACCGCCAGCUAAGGUCCCAAAGUCAUGGUUAAGUGGGAAACGAUGUGGGAAGGCCCAGACAGCCAGGAUGUUGGCUUAGAAGCAGCCAUCAUUUAAAGAAAGCGUAAUAGCUCACUGGUCGAGUCGGCCUGCGCGGAAGAUGUAACGGGGCUAAACCAUGCACCGAAGCUGCGGCAGCGACGCUUAUGCGUUGUUGGGUAGGGGAGCGUUCUGUAAGCCUGCGAAGGUGUGCUGUGAGGCAUGCUGGAGGUAUCAGAAGUGCGAAUGCUGACAUAAGUAACGAUAAAGCGGGUGAAAAGCCCGCUCGCCGGAAGACCAAGGGUUCCUGUCCAACGUUAAUCGGGGCAGGGUGAGUCGACCCCUAAGGCGAGGCCGAAAGGCGUAGUCGAUGGGAAACAGGUUAAUAUUCCUGUACUUGGUGUUACUGCGAAGGGGGACGGAGAAGGCGUAUCGUUGGCCGGGCGACGGUUGUCCCGGUUUAAGCGUGUAGGCUGGUUUUCCAAGCAAAUCCGGAAAAUCAAGGCUGAGGCGUGAUGACGAGGCACUACGGUGCUGAAGCAACAAAUGCCCUGCUUCCAGGAAAAGCCUCUAAGCAUCAGGUAACAUCAAAUCGUACCCCAAACCGACACAGGUGGUCAGGUAGAGAAUACCAAGGCGCUUGAGAGAACUCGGGUGAAGGAACUAGGCAAAAUGGUGCCGUAACUUCGGGAGAAGGCACGCUGAUAUGUAGGUGAAGUCCCUCGCGGAUGGAGCUGAAAUCAGUCGAAGAUACCAGCUGGCUGCAACUGUUUAUUAAAAACACAGCACUGUGCAAACACGAAAGUGGACGUAUACGGUGUGACGCCUGCCCGGUGCCGGAAGGUUAAUUGAUGGGGUCAGCGCAAGCGAAGCUCUUGAUCGAAGCCCCGGUAAACGGCGGCCGUAACUAUAACGGUCCUAAGGUAGCGAAAUUCCUUGUCGGGUAAGUUCCGACCUGCACGAAUGGCGUAAUGAUGGCCAGGCUGUCUCCACCCGAGACUCAGUGAAAUUGAACUCGCUGUGAAGAUGCAGUGUACCCGCGGCAAGACGGAAAGACCCCGUGAACCUUUACUAUAGCUUGACACUGAACAUUGAGCCUUGAUGUGUAGGAUAGGUGGGAGGCUUUGAAGUGUGGACGCCAGUCUGCAUGGAGCCGGCCUUGAAAUACCACCCUUUAAUGUUUGAUGUUCUAACGUUGACCCGUGAUCCGGGUUGCGGACAGUGUCUGGUGGGUAGUUUGACUGGGGCGGUCUCCUCCUAAAGAGUAACGGAGGAGCACGAAGGUUGGCUAAUCCUGGUCGGACAUCAGGAGGUUAGUGCAAUGGCAUAAGCCAGCUUGACUGCGAGCGUGACGGCGCGAGCAGGUGCGAAAGCAGGUCAUAGUGAUCCGGUGGUUCUGAAUGGAAGGGCCAUCGCUCAACGGAUAAAAGGUACUCCGGGGAUAACAGGCUGAUACCGCCCAAGAGUUCAUAUCGACGGCGGUGUUUGGCACCUCGAUGUCGGCUCAUCACAUCCUGGGGCUGAAGUAGGUCCCAAGGGUAUGGCUGUUCGCCAUUUAAAGUGGUACGCGAGCUGGGUUUAGAACGUCGUGAGACAGUUCGGUCCCUAUCUGCCGUGGGCGCUGGAGAACUGAGGGGGGCUGCUCCUAGUACGAGAGGACCGGAGUGGACGCAUCACUGGUGUUCGGGUUGUCAUGCCAAUGGCACUGCCCGGUAGCUAAAUGCGGAAGAGAUAAGUGCUGAAAGCAUCUAAGCACGAAACUUGCCCCGAGAUGAGUUCUCCCUGACUCCUUGAGAGUCCUGAAGGAACGUUGAAGACGACGACGUUGAUAGGCCGGGUGUGUAAGCGCAGCGAUGCGUUGAGCUAACCGGUACUAAUGAACCGUGAGGCUUAACCU
This 2901-nucleotide ribosomal RNA is filed under the name Escherichia coli DEC11C. Its description in RNAcentral is "bacterial LSU rRNA". It matches the Rfam family "Bacterial large subunit ribosomal RNA". The record is from RNAcentral. Lineage: Bacteria; Pseudomonadati; Pseudomonadota; Gammaproteobacteria; Enterobacterales; Enterobacteriaceae.